AACACACAACACACAACACACAAACAUCACAAUGUAUUCAUCCACACAAUGGCAUAGCGUACCCAAAACUAAAAUAACUUUACACCAUGGCAAUAAAAUCUAUAUCUAAACAGUUCAGAAACAUUUAAAUAAAACAUAAAUAUAAACAACAGUUUAGUCUCAAUGUCAUCUUGAGCUAUUAGUCCUAAUGACACUCUGCACUAUCUCCAUUUCUAGGCAGCAUAUGCAUUUUAAACAUCUUGAAGGGCAAAACCAAAUCUAUUUUCCCUCUGAUAUCUUAUUGACCAGUACAUAUUUCCAUCAAUUAGGAAGCAGCGCGAUUAGCAUGCUCAUCCUUAUGUGCUAAUAUUGCCAAGAGCAACCAAUAAACAGUAUCACUGAGAUGUGAGUGUGCUUAGUCAUUGCCCCCUGACGUUGAGGACCUCUUCUAUCCCCUGAGAUGAAAGGGCCCAGAGGCAAGGCCAACCCUUGACCUACAGUAGCAAUGUCGUGUGAUGCUGAUCAUGCAAGAGAGCAGUUCCCCUUAUUACUGGGCUUUCAUGCAAUGCAUUACUUCCCUUUACACAAUUACACUACUAAAGCUAGUUGAGUUUUGUGUUUUCUAUUCUAUUUGUAGUUCUAGUCUGUACUGUUAAAGAGCUCGGAAAAAAGGACCUACUUGUCUGGAUUCUUCACCCUGAAGGUUGCGUUCAGCGCUCUGAGACGAGACUCUGCCUGAGAAAAACAAGAUUGGAUAUCGAUCAGGACAGAAGAAUCUGAAUACAUCAAGAGAUGGCCAACACUGACGCAC
Clupea harengus (Atlantic herring) is the source of this 790-nucleotide long non-coding RNA. RefSeq lists it as uncharacterized. Lineage: Eukaryota; Metazoa; Chordata; Actinopteri; Clupeiformes; Clupeidae. The transcript is spliced from 2 exons. The record is from RefSeq and is a predicted model, not a curated record.